AAAGGCUUAGGUUAAAUAUAGACCAAAGGCCUUCAAAGCCUUAAGCAGAUGUUAAAUCAUCUAGCCUUUG
Molecule: transfer RNA, 70 nt
Filed under: Perameles bougainville (western barred bandicoot)
Lineage: Eukaryota; Metazoa; Chordata; Mammalia; Peramelemorphia; Peramelidae
Description: tRNA-Trp
Rfam family: tRNA
About the family: Transfer RNA (tRNA) molecules are approximately 80 nucleotides in length.
Source: RNAcentral